AAGAACAGCAAUACAUUUUGGCUUCCUCCCUUGUAGUCAGGGGUGAUUAUCAAAACAUUGAACAUGCUAAACCAGACUCCAGCCAAUGAGAGUGAAUAUCUGGGGGUCCCAGGAGAGGGGCAGGGUCACUGGGUGGGCCCUGUGGGCUGGACAAGGUUGCCAGAGUAGACAAAUAAAAAUAUAGGACACCUAGUUAAAUUUAAACCUCGGACAAACAUCAGAGGUUUUGUUUUUUGUUUUUUGUUUAGUAUAAACAUAUCCUUGGUGAUAUUUAGAACUUGCUUAAAAAUUAUGUCAGUUAUCUGAAAUUCAAAUGCAACCCAGUGUCCCACAUUUUACCUGCAAACCUAGUGCUGGAUCGGCAGCUACUUCCCAACUAGAAGAGAAGGGCACACCACCUGGCCACCCCACAGCCUCUUCGGGAGGCCUGACACAGGAUUAUUUAGGAGCUGAAGCUCCCAGUACAAGGUAAGCUGUGUGUCUUUUUUUUAUCCCAGUCUGCUCUAUAGCACCAAGUAUUUUUGAAGCUAGAAGUUCAGCUUUGUACUGACAGAGAGACUGAGAACUGGAGGGGCAAGGCAAGCCAGCCAAGGCACACAGCCCACUGGCAGCAGAGUCAGACAGGCCGGGCCUUGUGGCCGCACCCUCCUAUCCCUCUGCCUCUGCUGGCCUGGCGACCCCUCCCAUGCCUGAUGUUUCAACAAACCGUCCUCUCUCUAGAGAUGAGGGCUAUACAAGGAGGAAAGAGCACAGUAAACUGGGCUUCAGCCCCCGCUCUACAAGACACAGCUUCAGGGAUGUGGGCAAGUCCUUUGCCUGUAAAGAGAGAGUUAUGGACAUGGCCUGUGGGGCCUCUCUGCCAGCACGGAGUUGCUACGGAGCCCCUCGCACUAGUGGGGUGACUGCAGAGGCCGCACUCAGUCAUGGUACGGCAUGGCCAUCUGUACCCCAAGAGACUUGCCACUGUGUGGCUUCCCAGGUGAGGAGACAAUUUGACAGCACAUGAAGGGGUUGGGUUGGGUUGGAUUUCCCCCACUUUUGCUCCAACUUGAAGCUAAGGCCAGACAUUCUUUCAGUGACUGCCCUUUGCCCUUCUUCCCCACAUCCUUUCCCACAACUGCCCUUGGUGGCUUCCAUUCCUCACUCAGAGCCAGCCGUGCUCUGGUUGGCGAUGGGAACAACGUCAGUAAACACGACAAAGACAUAGUCCCGAACCACACCAUUCAUGGUCUAGCCAGGCAAAAGGCCUGGGAACAAACAGCAGGGAUGCAGAGGCCUCCCCCCCUCCAUUCAACUAGGCACAGUCAUGUUUGCUUUUUAAAGCGAAAUUUCACUCUUUCAACUGGUAAAUAUUGGAUAAACAAACUACAAUAAAUCUAUACAGCAGAAUUCUAUUUGCCAAUAAAGAAUCAACUGCUCUUAUGCACAACAGGGACACAUUUCAAAUGUAUUAUUCUAAAAAAGCAGCCAGAUUCAAAAGGCCAUCCAUAUGACAUUCUGGAAAAGGCAAAAACAAGAGCAGCAGAGAACAGCCCAGUGGUUGCUGGUGAGGGGAGAAGGGCUGCACCAAGAAGAUUUUGGAUGUGAUCAAAGUGUUCCAUAUCUUGUCUAUGAUGGUGGCUACAUGACUGAUGCAUUUGUUAGCAUUAUUAGAACUAUACAGAGAAAGGGGUUAACUUUCAGUAAUUAUACCUCAUUAAACCUAACUUCUUAAAAAAUUAAAAAGUAAAUUUGAGUGGAUCAUUCUCCUGCUUAAAACUCCACUCUCACUGUAUUAACUCCAGUUCUCUUGACUUCUUUCCAUCUUUCAUUUAUUCUUUUGACAAAUCCUUAUUGAGCAUCUAUUGUGUGCCAGGUACUAAUUGCUGGGAGACUGUGGGCAGCUCUUCGUCUUAGCUUUCAGGCCCUAGCUUAUGCUGUUCCAAGGUUGUGCCUCUACCUGGAAGUCCCUUGCGUUACCCUCAUUCCCCAAACCCCCCUUCACCUUCAUUCUCUUUCAGGUCUUCUCUUAGGGGUCACUUCCUCAGCAGGGGCUCCCACAGACCCCUGAAAUCAAUCACAUGCUCACUUGGCUCCUCGCACUUCCCACACUGUCAUACUCCACUGUAGUUUCCUCUUUGGAGGCAAAGAUGUGUGUGUCUAGAGGGUUUUCUGCUGUAGCGCAAGUGCCUAGCACACUGAACCAUACAAAUGUGCUUGCUGCUUUGAUAGGCAAAAACGGCCAAGUAUUGGCAAUCUCAUAUUGUUCAGCUUAACACUAAGUGCUCAGUUAUAAUUAUCCAAGCAGAAAGGCUGCACCAGGGAAUGAAUCAGAGCCCAGACCCUGGGGCCACGUGGCUUGGGUUUCAAUACUGCCUCUAUCACCUUCAGCUAAGUGACUUUGGGCAAGUGACUCCACCUCUACAGAGCCUUGCAUUCCUCCUCUCUAACAGGGGUCAUACUAAUAAGCACCGGAGAGGCUUGUUAGGAAAUUAAGUGAAUUAAAAUUUGCAAAGCCCUUAAGACACUGUCGGGCACAUAGUAGGUGUGUUUGCUAAAGGAAUGACUGAAGCACUUACCAAGGGUCACAGGAGCAGAGGAGGAAAAGACUCAGUGUCCCUGAGAGAGGGGGAGGUAGUGUUACUUGCCUUAAAGGGCGAGUAAUGUUUGCCAGGCAGGCAUGUGGGGUGGCAAGGAGGGAGGGCAAGACAUUUCAGGCUGAGAGAGCAGGUGUUCAAAGCUUAAAGGCAAGAAAAGAGAGUAGGUAGGGGCAGGCUGACUAAGGUUCAUGGGAGAACUGAUGGGAGGUAAGGCCAGAGUGAAAAAGGGCAAAACUACUCAGGUGAGAAACUUGCAGAUCCUAGGGACCAUCACAGAAUUUUAAGCAAGGGAAUGAUAUGAUUAUGAUUUUGUUCUAGAAGGAUCACUUCAGCCACCAACUGGAGACAAAUUGGGAGGCUAAAGGAGGCUAGAGGAAUUGGUCAGACAAAAAGCAAUGAAGUGCUGAGCUCAGGCAGUAACUGUACGAAUAGUGAGCAGGGGCCAAUUGGAGGGUUAUUUCUGAGGAGGAUUUACCGGAAUUAGCAGCUAAGUAAGAGCAGAAGGCUUGAGUUUCUGUGCUGGGUAGGUGAGAACUGACAUAAGGAGCUAUUCAGGGAAGAGUAGGUGGGGCAGUGGACAGCGAGAGCAGAAGGCGGCAGCCACUACUGACCGGGUGCGUGUGGUGCACUGGCUGUGGGCACCAUGUUCUCCCACUCUUGCCUGAACUCUCCAGAGGAGGCUGCUCCCAUUUUGCAAGUGCAGAAACUGCAUCCCAAGCAGGUUACCAUAUGGAGCCCUAGUGACACAGAGCUGGGGAGGAAGAAUGAUUUUGGUCUUGCAGAUGAAGGUUGAGAGGCCAGCAGGAAAUGUGGAUGACUGCGUCCUGGUGGUGGAUUGAACAGUAGUUCGGGAGUUCAGAGAAGUCUUGGGGUGAUGAAUGGAGAUUUGGGAGUCGCCCGCAUACACGGAUGUUGACUUAGCAUAGCAGUGCAUAAAGUCACCAGGUCAAGUAAGAAGAGGACUCUGAGAAACACCAGUAUUUAAAGGACACCCAGAGGCGUUGCUGUCAAAAACAGAAGCAGCACCAGGAGAGGGUGGGUGUCUAGAUGAAGAAGGGGGUUCCAAGAAGCAGGAUGUGAGCAGAAGCAAGAUGAAGGAAGGCUGAAAAUGGGCACUGGACUUAGCAACUGGGAGUUCUCCACCAGAGCAGUCUUAGUGCCAUGUGGUGGAGGCAGGAGACACGUUGCCAAGGUCAAGGAGUCCACAGGAAGUGAGGAAGUGGAGGCACUGCUCCUGUCUGCAGAAGUUGAAGAAGCAGGGCCCUUCACCUGGGCUGCACAUUGGAAUCACCUGGAGAGAUUUUCUGACUCUGCCUUUCAGCCCCAUUCCAGACCAACCAAACCAAUCUUUUCAGAGUGGUUCCCCAGGCAUCCAGCUUUUGGAAGACUCCCUGUGUGACUCAGAUGUACACGGGUGUUAAGAAUCAAUGCUCACCAAGACCACAUAUUGUGCCUCCAUUUACAGGAAAUGUCCAGAAAAGGCAAAUUGAGACAGACAUGUUAGAAUAGGGUUUCCCAGGGCUGGAAAUAACUCUAAAUUACAUGGGAUCACACUGGGGUGAUGGAAAUGGUCUGCGGUGAUGGCUACACAACUCAGUAAAUUUACUAAAAAAAUCACUGAAUUGUUCACUUAAACAAACAGGAACCAAGGCUGUGCCAACAGGCAGGAAUCACUUUGCAACCCUAGUCAACCAAUGGAUCUGGGCAUCAAGCAUUAAAAGCCAACAUCUAGGAGAAAGACAGCUAGAUGCUGCUGCUCCUGAUGGGGAAACACACACCACCCACAAGCAGCUGAACCAGAGUCAGAUCAGACCUCUAGAUGCAACCACCAACUUUCAAGAAAACCAGAGGACAGAGGAACAUGUAAAACUAUACCAUGGGGAUACAACUAGCAAAAUUCAGACCAUAGGAAACUCUACCAAAGGAUAAUCUCAUUUCUUCAACAAAUAUUUUGCAAGGAAAACAGAAGAAUAAAACAAUCUUAAAACACAGACUAACCAAUCACAAUCUAUGGAUCUUAUUUGGAUCCUAAUUCAAAGAAACUGAAAACAAAUUAAAACAUUCAUGAGACAACUGGAAAGCUGAACAUUAACUGGAUAUUUGAUAACAAGGGAAUUUUAAAAUUUUUUGUUGUGAUAAUUGUAUUGUGGUUGUAAUUAAAAGAAAAGUACCUAUCUUUUAGAAAAUGCAAGCUGAGAUACUCAUGUUUGAAAGAUCUGAAAGCUGGUUUUGCUUUAAGGUAAUCCUGGAAGGUAUAAAGUAGAGGGGUGUGGAUGGGUCCAGACUGACCAAGUUGAUGGCUGUUGAAGGUGAGUGAAGGCACAUGAGGACUCAUCAUACUUGUCUGUCUACUUCUGUGUAUUUUUUUAGUUCUCUAUUAGAAAAAUGUUCUCUAUUAGAAAAAAGGAAGAAAGGAAGGAAAGAGGGAGGGAGGGAGAAAUGAAGGAAGAAAGGAAAAGGGAGGGGAGAGGGAAGGAGGAUAGAAGGAGAGGAGGAAGUAGCCCUCAUUUGAGGUCAAGGGCAUUUUUUGGAUGGGUAAGGUAGUCGUUCUCAACUACACCUGCACAAUUGAGUUAUCUGGCAAGCUUUGCAAAAUGCUGAUGCUUGGGCCCAACCUCAGAAAUUCUACUAUAACUGGUCUGGAAUGUAGUAACAUAAUCCUAAUUUGUAGCUGCCAUAUACUGGUGCCUACCUUAUGCUAGGCACUUGCUAUAGUCAUAAAUCCUACCAGCAGUUCUUCAAGGUAGAGAUCAUUCCUACUCAGAGACGGACAACUGAGGCUCAAAAAGAGAAACUACCUAAAGAUCAGAGCUAGAAAAUGAUCAGCAAGGGCCCAUAUCUUCUUUCUCCACAGCCAGUACUUUUAGACACCCCCACACCUUCCACCAACAGGGGUUACUCUCUAUCCCCUUCUUCCAGAUUAAUUGUUCUGACUGCCUAUUGCAGAAGCAGGUCAUUUGUAGAAAAUAAAUAUGUACCUCUGAUUUUUCUUAGGCCUGACUUUGCCAUGCAUUGCCAACAAAAGGGAUUCCUGCAGGUAGCUUUGAAAAUAGGGGCUCCCCUCCUUAGCAGCUGUUUCUGAGAAGGUCUUCAGAGAAGAGAGUGCUGUUCUUGCUGCCUGAGGAGACCUGGAUAAGAGAGCUUGCCAGGAAGCCACUACCCAGAGGGCACAGACAGAUUGCCCCUUGCCACCUUCUACCCUUGCAAAAAGGGUAUAAAAGCUCUCUCAAGAUGCCUGGGCUUCAGAGAUUAUAGUUUUAGUCUGUGGGAUGUAACUUUUAUCCCUCAAGUCAAUACCUUCUUAAUUGGUUGUCCAGAGUUUUAUUAAAAUUUGUUAUCUCUAUUUUUGAGGAGCUCCAAAGCAUCCUGGGGUAUUAUCUGCUCUUUCCUCUUCAAUUAUACUGUAAAAAGAUGGAGAUAAACCAAAGACUCUGGCAGAAUAUAUGAAAAUCAUCCUCCACUGGCACAUUUGCUGUGCUUGUCUGGAUUGCUGACUGAUUUUUACUGUGUUUCUAGGACACCCUAACUAGAUGGUGGCUCCUGACCAGGAGGGAUGGUGCCAGGAAUCAGAACUUGCCUCCCUUUUUCUUUCCUGCAGCCAUUAACAAGCACUUGCUUGUGCCUUUGAUGGAUGGGGACAAAGGAGACUCUGUAAAUGCACCUAAAAUAAUAUAACAAGUCUCUGUUAAUUUUAUGUGUACAGUGUGGUCUGUGCUUAUACCAACAGUGGUGUAAUGUUAUACAAGGCUGACAAAGUGUUCCAGCUAAAACCAAGGAAGGAUGGCUUUCCCUAAUUUACAGGAAAAAAUUAACUUAGAAGUGUUAAUUUUAAAGGUUUGCCCUUAUAAAGUAGGUGCCUUCUACCAUCUUCUGUAACAGAACCUGGAGUGACAGCUAACACUCUCACAGUCCUCUCUAAGUACUGCUACAAGCAUUUUAUAUAUAUUAGUACAUUUAAUCCUCACAAGAACGCUAUGAGGUAGGUACUAUUAUUAUCCCCAUUUUACAGAUAAGGAAACUGAGGCACUGAAAAGGCAGGUACCUUGCCCAAAGUUCAUGUGUCUGGGAAGUGUGGAGUCAGGAUCAUAAAUCCAGGCAGGCUGGUUCCAGAGUUAUCCUCACUCGCCCCACCUUAUCACACUGCUAUUUAAUCUAGCACUAAAUUAAUUUUUAAAUUACUACAUGUUUAUUGUGCCAACAGUCAAAGACUUCUGCAAACCACACCCAGGGUUGUAGGGCUCUGCCCCCACCACCCGCCCCCUGUGGAUUGGGAGUCAGAAACACCUGGGUUUGAAUCCAGAUUCCAUCCUCUACACGCUAGGUAACUUAGGCACCUCUCUGCUAACUUCUCUGAGAGUCAGUUCCCUGAGAAAAUCCAGGGCUGUCAAGAGGAGGGAAUGAGGCGACUCAUACAGUGCCAAAGCCCAUGUCUGGCUAGACGUUUCUGAACCCAAGUGUCAGAUGCUGGCAGCUUUGUUCUUCCAUCUAUUUGUUCAUCCAUUUGGCAAACACCAGAUGGAGACAGAGACUGGCCAGCACUGCAGCUUCCAGAUAAAGUUCUUUCCCCUUCUCUCCCUAGAGAAGAGAAAUGACCUCCUGGUAGGGCCAAAUGUGAGUGCCUGGCCCAGAAGUGGCAAACCAUUCCAUAGGAUCUCAGAGCAGCCAGAACGGAGCCAGAGCAGGGCCCAACUGAGCAGGCCCUGAAUGGCAGGAAAGUGUUAGGGUUCUGUUUAAUAGGUGAUGGGAAAUCACUAAAACUUUUGAUCCGAAGUCAUAUGAUCAAAAAUGCACUUUGAAGUUUAAAUAUUUAAAUUGUGCAUAGGGUUCUUGAGAGGUGCAAGUUGGGAGGCUAUCCCAAAAGGCUGGGCAAGAAGUGAUGAGUGGGAUGAGGUGCAAUGCAAGGCAUCCUCCAAAACUGUGAGAGAAGGGCCACCUGCACUCCACGCCCACACUUGACCACCCAGCCUGUCCUGCUCACACGUGUGCAAGUCUUUCCUCUCUGCCUGCCAUCUGCAUCUGCCCCCCUGUCCCCACCCCUUCUCUCCCCACUUCAACAGUUUGGCCUCAGUCCCUGACUUGUCUACUACCUCCUGACUUAAUCCCCUCCAGGCAGGGAUCCCAGAGCCAGCCCUGGAUUCCAGUGUCAGUCCUCCAGCUUGGCCCCAGUUAAACUUCACAUGUUGUCACUUGCACUUGCAUGAAAGCCGAAGUGCAAAGGAAGGCCUCCACCCUCACUCCCUGCACCGCUCAGGAGGAUGGAACAAAACAGAGGUCCAGGUGACACCGUGGAGGGAAGUCCACUGAACUCAGACAACCACCUGGGUAUCGGGAAGCAAGCAGUCAAAGGAAUGACAGAGCCACAAAAUGGAAGGAGCUUGGGUCCCUGAAUGACUUUAUGGAAGGUCACCCUCCCAAUGCCAACACUGAACUGUUCCAUAAUCAAGGCAAAAAGCUGUUGUUCCUCCAACCGCGGCUAACCCAGAUGACCCGGGUUGCCACCAACCAGAUGUUACUUCACUGCUACGCACCUCUUCCCACUGAACCCCCUCCUUCGGCCUAAUACCAGCCUCAAACCCCCACGAUGCCUCUUGUCAGUCAGAAGUAACCAGAUCGAGUUGUCACCCAUUAUGACCAAAAGGCUGCAAUGUUAGGCUGGAGAAAGGAAAAACAAGGACAUGCAAACAGAACAGAAAGAUACCAUAAAAGGAGAACAGAACAGACCCCAAGGUCCAUGCCUUAUAUGGAAACGGGACAGCUCUUCCUGAAUUUCAUCCUUCUGAUGUGCCAACUAAGACCCAGAUGUCAGCCUCCUCCCUCUUGGAAGGAAAAAAGUUUCUAGUUGUCUAUUAGGUUACCUUUAGCCAAUCAUACCUCUCCACGCCCCCUGGAAUAGCUUACACACUCCUCCCCCUCCUAAUCCCUUAUAAGCCCCCACCUCCCUGACCUGGUGUGACUUCCCUGGCCUGUAAUACCCAGACCAGAGAACAUCACCUGGGAAUUGCGCUCAAAUAAACUGCCUAGCCCUUUGUUGCCUCUCGUCGCCUGCUUAUUUUGGCUAGAAUUUACCUUACAAUAAAUACCCAUUUUCAGAAAUGAAAUGUCCUUAGAUGGAGGCCCUUUUUCUGUCUGCAAAAAUGAAUUGCAUUAAUAGAUCUCUCACUGUCCCCAUCCAAACCCUUCUUUCACCUGGAAUUUUCAUUUUGGAUGACAAUGCUUUAU
This is a long non-coding RNA of Manis pentadactyla (Chinese pangolin), 8798 nucleotides long. RefSeq lists it as uncharacterized. The transcript is spliced from 3 exons. Lineage: Eukaryota; Metazoa; Chordata; Mammalia; Pholidota; Manidae. The record is from RefSeq and is a predicted model, not a curated record.